Molecule: long non-coding RNA, 611 nt
Organism: Limulus polyphemus (Atlantic horseshoe crab)
Lineage: Eukaryota; Metazoa; Arthropoda; Merostomata; Xiphosura; Limulidae
Exons: 3
Source: RefSeq, a predicted model, not a curated record
UCUGAAUCCUAAGCGUGAGGAACGAGCUGAAGGCUUGUGACAUGAAAAAUAGAGGCUAGUGUUAGGAUCGUUGAUCUUUCUUCUGUGUUUAUAUGGAACUGAGCUCAGCUUUACCUUGUUGCACAAAAGCAAUUACGCAGGAAGAAGUACAAGGCUAAACUUUUACCAUGUCAACUUGAACUGUAAUACGUCACUGAUGUCGAUACAAGGAACGUUAUGUGUUUCUCUUCUUACACGUUUGAUUAACGGGAGAAUAGAAAGAAGGAAAACAAGUGGAAGCUGGAGGACCAAUCAGAGGACUAGAUGAAUACAAUAAACUGUUUUGGAAUGUGUUCAAUAAAAGAAUUGUUAGAGACCGCACAUCUACAACAUACUUGUACGUUGUAUUAAAUAUCCAAAAUGUCCAAGUCUUCACUUUGUACUGGCUGAAUCUGCAGAAACAGAAAUCAGAGCACUGAAGUAAGUUUCAAAUCAGACAUUUAUCAAAACGUACCAUAGAAGUAAAAAUUGUGAUCGUGUUUUCGUAACUGUAUUUGUGAUAAAGCUACUAAGCCUAUUUAACUACUUACUGACCAGAGAGAAGGAGGCAACUGUUCAGAAGUACCCUACCA